Molecule: transfer RNA, 74 nt
Filed under: Salmo salar (Atlantic salmon)
Lineage: Eukaryota; Metazoa; Chordata; Actinopteri; Salmoniformes; Salmonidae
Rfam family: tRNA
About the family: Transfer RNA (tRNA) molecules are approximately 80 nucleotides in length. Their secondary structure includes four short double-helical elements and three loops (D, anti-codon, and T loops).
Source: Rfam by way of RNAcentral
UCCCGUGUGGCUCAGUUGGUAGAGCAUGGUGCUUGCAACACCACAGAUCGUGGGUUCAAUUCCCACUGAGGGUC